GAAAUAUUUAAAAAGAUUGUCAUGAAUAGAGAGCGAGAGAGAGAGAGAGAGAGAGAGAGAGAGAGAGCAGCAGAGAUACGAGUGAGCAAAGAAAGAACAAAUUAGAACGGAGGAAGCAUGGAAAUUUUUUCAUUUCCAGAGACUUGCCACAAAAGUUUGAAGACCACCCAUCAGCCUUCAUGCCUGCUGUUUGACCUUCAAGGCAACCAGCAACGCACAGCCUCCGCACUUGUAUUACAACAUCCCUUGUUCCCUCUUUAAUUUUUCCUUUUCCUCCCCAUCACUUCUUCUCCUCGUCUCCACCACCUCACCCUCUGCUUGGUUGUGAUGGAUGUCUGCUGUGUGCGGCGCACAGCAGCCUGGAGGAAAUAUUCUGUCACACAUCAUCAUAAUGCGCCCAAGGACGCCGGUGUUUAAGCCAGAGACCCUGGUGCUGUCAUGUCCCCAGAUUAUUGUGAAACAGAUUGAUUAACCCUCGAGUGGAAGCAACCCCUUUUUUCCACGGUGGCAGGUCGCCACCUCUCUUGGGGGGGUCUCUUUCUCUCUCUCUUUCAUUCCACUAUGCAAUAAACCUGUUGCACUUUUGAUCAACGACCCCCAAAAAUCAAUGUCUUUAAAGGUAAUGUGUCUUUUAUUCACGUGUCACACCUAGGUUUUCCAGCAGAGGUUUGUAUGCGGUGACAAGCGGACUGUUAAGAAUUUCUGUAAACGCUACAUUAUUUAUUGACCCAUGAAUGCUACAAUGUGCACGGAUAACAUUGUUUAUUUAGGAUAAGGAAUAACUACAAGAUGCAAAUCUAAUAUUAUUAAUAUUUUAAACCUUUUACCACAUUUUUUUACCACAACACAGCCGUGGUGAAAAACCACUGGUUUAAAAAUUCCUGUGUGAAAUCAGAGAGUGGAAUCUGAAAACCACUCUCACAGAGAUUAGAUUUUUGAAAACAACUUUUCGUAAAAUUCACCAGAAAUCAUCACGUUUUUGUACAAAUGCAC
Long non-coding RNA from Scophthalmus maximus (turbot), 993 nucleotides. RefSeq lists it as uncharacterized. The transcript has 2 exons. The record is from RefSeq and is a predicted model, not a curated record. Lineage: Eukaryota; Metazoa; Chordata; Actinopteri; Pleuronectiformes; Scophthalmidae.